Molecule: ribosomal RNA, 687 nt
Filed under: uncultured bacterium
Lineage: Bacteria
Description: bacterial SSU rRNA
Rfam family: Bacterial small subunit ribosomal RNA
Source: RNAcentral
UCCGUAGAUAUCACUAGGAAUACCGAAAGCGAAGGCGAUCUCCUGGAACAUUACUGACGCUAAGGCGUGAAAGCGUGGGGAGCAAACGGGAUUAGAUACCCCGGUAGUCCACGCCCUAAACGAUGUUCACUAGUCGUCGGGAUGCUAGUCAUCUCGGUGAUGCACUUAACAGAUUAAGUGAACCGCCUGGGGAGUACGGUCGCAAGAUUAAAACUCAAAGGAAUAGACGGGGACCCGCACAAGUGGUGGAGCAUGUGGUUUAAUUCGAAGAUACGCGAAGAACCUUACCUAGCCUUGACAUUGAUAGAAUACACCAGAGAUGGAGUAGUGCCUUUCGGGGAACUUGAAAACAGGUGCUGCACGGCUGUCGUCAGCUCGUGUCGUGAGAUGUUGGGUUAAGUCCCGCAACGAGCGCAACCCUCGUCCUUAGUUGCCAGCAGGUUAAGCUGGGCACUCUAAGGAGACUGCCUUCGUAAGGAGGAGGAAGGUGAGGACGACGUCAAGUCAUCAUGGCCCUUAUGGCUAGGGCUACACACGUGCUACAAUGGGGCGUACAGAGUGUUGCGAUACCGCGAGGUGGAGCUAAUCACUUAAAGCGUCUCUCAGUUCGGAUAGCAGUCUGCAACUCGACUGCUUGAAGCUGGAAUCACUAGUAAUCGUAGAUCAGCAAUGCUACGGUGAAUACGU